AGAAUAAGCACCGGCUAACUCCUGUGCCAGCAGCCGCGGUAAUACGGAGGGUGCAAGCGUUAAUCGGAAUUACUGGGCGUAAAGCGCACGCAGGCGGUUGGAUAAGUUAGAUGUGAAUCCCCGGGCUCAACCUGGGAACUGCAUCCAAAACUGUCCAGCUAGAGUAUGGUAGAGGGGGGUAGAUUCCAGGU
RNAcentral lists this ribosomal RNA (191 nucleotides) under Aeromonas sp. C3ACCMRS.I. Its description in RNAcentral is "partial 16S ribosomal RNA". It matches the Rfam family "Bacterial small subunit ribosomal RNA", at positions 483 to 674 of the family's 1533-position model. The record is from RNAcentral. Lineage: Bacteria; Pseudomonadati; Pseudomonadota; Gammaproteobacteria; Aeromonadales; Aeromonadaceae.